CAGUCGCCGCGGGAACACGUAGGUGGCAAGCGUUGUCCGGAUUUAUUGGGUUUAAAGGGUGCGUAGGCGGCUAUUUAAGUCAGCGGUGAAAGACUCCGGCUCAACCGGAGCAGUGCCAUUGAUACUGGAUAGCUUGAGUGUUGGAGGGGUACAUGGAAUUGAUGGUGUAGCGGUGUAAUGCAUAGAUACCAUCAGGAACACCGAUAGCGAAGGCAUUGUACUGGCCAACAACUGACGCUGAGGCACGAAAGCAUGGGGAGCGAACAGGAUUAGAUACCCGCGUAGUCCCUGUCUCUUAUAC
Molecule: ribosomal RNA, 301 nt
Filed under: uncultured bacterium
Lineage: Bacteria
Description: partial 16S ribosomal RNA
Rfam family: Bacterial small subunit ribosomal RNA
Source: RNAcentral